UGCCUUUGCAAUGUAUAUUACAUGCUUGGCACUCAGUAGUGUCUGUUUCUUUAAGACCCUCCAUUUUCUUGAAGCCUAGAGGCGGGUCUUCUCUGUACUCUCUAGGGCUUGCUGGGACAUAUCCUGUUCAGUCCAGCUCUGGCUACUAUAGUGACCAGAUCCACAGGACAUCUUAAAGCUAUUACAGAUUGCAAACCUGACGAACACCAAAGCCUUUUUACCUCACAUAUCAUCCCAUAUCAUAUCAUAUGAACAUUAUUGUACACAUUCCUGUUCAUUAUAUCUCAGUAAAGAUUGCAUCAGUUCAGCAAA
This is a long non-coding RNA of Bufo gargarizans (Asiatic toad), 312 nucleotides long. RefSeq lists it as uncharacterized. The record is from RefSeq and is a predicted model, not a curated record. The transcript is spliced from 2 exons. Lineage: Eukaryota; Metazoa; Chordata; Amphibia; Anura; Bufonidae.